Molecule: ribosomal RNA, 445 nt
Filed under: Mycolicibacterium phocaicum
Lineage: Bacteria; Bacillati; Actinomycetota; Actinomycetes; Mycobacteriales; Mycobacteriaceae
Description: bacterial SSU rRNA
Rfam family: Bacterial small subunit ribosomal RNA
Source: RNAcentral
UAGAGUUUGAUCAUGGCUCAGGACGAACGCUGGCGGCGUGCUUAACACAUGCAAGUCGAACGGAAAGGCCCUUCGGGGUACUCGAGUGGCGAACGGGUGAGUAACACGUGGGUGAUCUGCCCUGCACUUUGGGAUAAGCCUGGGAAACUGGGUCUAAUACCGAAUAGGACCACGCGCUUCAUGGUGUGUGGUGGAAAGCUUUUGCGGUGUGGGAUGGGCCCGCGGCCUAUCAGCUUGUUGGUGGGGUAAUGGCCUACCAAGGCGACGACGGGUAGCCGGCCUGAGAGGGUGACCGGCCACACUGGGACUGAGAUACGGCCCAGACUCCUACGGGAGGCAGCAGUGGGGAAUAUUGCACAAUGGGCGCAAGCCUGAUGCAGCGACGCCGCGUGAGGGAUGACGGCCUUCGGGUUGUAAACCUCUUUCAAUAGGGACGAAGCGCAGA